AUGGACAAGUCGGGAACUGAACUAGCAAGUCCAGAAACACAUGGUCCUGUAGAUAAGUUAUUUACAGCUCUUGAACAGGCAUCAGACUUUUCCUUUUCAGUGCUGCAAGAGUCAUUCAGAACUGUUGAUUUCGUAGUCACGGUGCAAGCAUUGUCCUGGUGA
Molecule: ribosomal RNA, 162 nt
Filed under: Triticum aestivum (bread wheat)
Lineage: Eukaryota; Viridiplantae; Streptophyta; Magnoliopsida; Poales; Poaceae
Description: partial small subunit ribosomal RNA
Source: RNAcentral